This 374-nucleotide ribosomal RNA is filed under the name uncultured organism. RNAcentral describes it as "partial 16S ribosomal RNA". It matches the Rfam family "Bacterial small subunit ribosomal RNA", at positions 527 to 896 of the family's 1533-position model. The record is from RNAcentral.
GUAGGUGGCAAGCGUUGUCCGGAAUUAUUGGGCGUAAAGCGCGCGCAGGGCGGUCCUUUAAGUUUGAUGUGAAAGCCCGCGGGCUCAACCGUGGAGGGUCAUUAGAAACUGGGGGACUUGAGUACAGAAGAGGAAAGCGGAAUUCCAAGUGUAGCGGUGAAAUGCGUAGAGAUUUGGAGGAACACCAGUGGCGAAGGCGGCUUUCUGGUCUGUAACUGACGCUGAGGCGCGAAAGCGUGGGGAGCAAACAGGAUUAGAUACCCUGGUAGUCCACGCCGUAAACGAUGAGUGCUAAGUGUUAGGGGGUUUCCGCCCCUUAGUGCUGCAGCUAACGCAUUAAGCACUCCGCCUGGGGAGUACGGCCGCAAAGGCUG